RNAcentral lists this microRNA precursor (87 nucleotides) under Pteropus vampyrus (large flying fox). RNAcentral describes it as "miRNA (ENSPVAG00000025729.1)". The record is from RNAcentral. Lineage: Eukaryota; Metazoa; Chordata; Mammalia; Chiroptera; Pteropodidae.
UUGUGUGUGUAUGUGUGCACACUGUGUGUAUAUAUAUAUAUAUGUACACACACACACACACACACACACACACACACACACACACAC